GUGAGGAGGUUGGAAUUAAUUCUCACCACCAACAGCUGCUAACUGUAGCCUACUAAGGGACAUCAGAAUUAGUAUUUUUUAAAUAAUCAUUUUGAGGUCUCUAAGCAGGCAUUAUAGGACUUGUAAUUAAUUGCUUACUGUUAUUUUAGGCUAUUUCUACUACUGCUGUUCUACUAUGACUAGUUGUGUGUCUUUGGACACUAAUGUUCUUUCUGACAGGAUUGAUUUCCCAAUUUCGCAGUUAUUUCCAGCAUUUCUGAAGCGAUCAUAAAGAGGCUCUGCACCAUCAUGCAGAAGAGGCCUAGUCUACUCAGCUGCUCCCCUUCAGGGGCAGUUCCACACCUCUGAUCCUCCUUGCUGCAAUUCUCAACAUUUUUCAGUUGUAACGUGUCGUUCUGAGGCUGGGACUACAUACAACAUUCAAGAGUGAGAAUUUUUAUUGAUCCAGCUAGUCAAUGGCACAGCUGUUAGAUGACAGAUGACACCAUACUUAAACAAGCCCAGAGAGUGUAUCUCAGAUUCAAAAAGUGCACUGCAAAGCUGCUGCUAUUCAGGAAAGGAAUAUCAAUGCACCUUCAGGAACUAAGCUUGACCAACACAAAAAAGUGUAAUCUUACCCUCAAAAGUGUCAACCAUUCUGAAAAAUGCAAGAGAGAAGGAAGAUUUUCCACUGCCUGUUCGGCCGCAGAUCCCAAUCUGUGACACAAAGAAGAUGAACAUCAAGUUCUGGAUUUGGAUCUCGCCUCUGUCUGGCCAGUUCUGGGGAAUCUGCGAGGAAGCUGUGCCAGGAGCAUAGGGGAACAAAUACAACCACCCUCUCUGAAUUCAUCGUAUCAUUAAGUGAUUUACUGAGUUAUUCAUGGUAAUACACUGCAAAAUCAUUAGUAUUUCAGCAAGCUCUUUCUGCAUGCUGCACAAAACUGCACUUACAAAGGAGCCCUUCAUAAUUUUCAGCUUCUGUUUUGAGAAGGCCAUGGAUUCUUUUCACUGCACCCAGCUGGAUCUCCAUAUCAGCCAGGUUACGAACCAUCCAAUUCAGAUAGUUAGACACC
Oxyura jamaicensis (ruddy duck) is the source of this 1052-nucleotide long non-coding RNA. RefSeq lists it as uncharacterized. NCBI's taxonomy places the organism in Eukaryota, Metazoa, Chordata, Aves, Anseriformes, Anatidae. The transcript has 4 exons. The record is from RefSeq and is a predicted model, not a curated record.